GCUUGAAUGGUCUAGUUGGUUAUGACCUCUGCCUCACACGCAGAAAAUCCCGAGUUCAACCCACAGUUCGAGUA
RNAcentral lists this transfer RNA (74 nucleotides) under Perkinsus olseni. Its description in RNAcentral is "tRNA-Val". The record is from RNAcentral. Lineage: Eukaryota; Perkinsozoa; Perkinsida; Perkinsidae.